RNAcentral lists this long non-coding RNA (495 nucleotides) under Setaria viridis. Its description in RNAcentral is "long non-coding RNA (SVIR_LNC005640)". Lineage: Eukaryota; Viridiplantae; Streptophyta; Magnoliopsida; Poales; Poaceae. The record is from RNAcentral.
GGGGGAGUAGAGUUAUAGGGUAGUCUUUGGUACAAGAGUACUAGUCGGACAAGACUAUAGAGUUCUACUCUAGCUCGGUAGAGUAGUUUCCUUGUAUUCCACUAGUCCUUCAGGAGUUCCAUGUAGUCUAUAUUGCCCUGUAGCGUAGUCUUCAUGUCCUGAUACAUCUCGAGUACGUCCCCUUGAGUGGGUUCGUACGGACCUUCUGGUGGGCCCGGGGAUGUAUGGUCGACAUAUAGGGCCAUCAUCCUCUCAUAGACCAUCUAGCUCUAGAGGUCCUCCACCCUCCCGUGCUCCUAAGAAGAAAGGGAUCUUCAACUUUUUAUCAUAAGGUCUCUUUGCAUGCUUCAAUGUGGGCCGCCACAAUGCGGAAGAAAUGUAUGCCCACAGGAAGAAUGUGGAUGAGUAGCUUCUAAAGAUUGAAAAGAGGCAAAAGGAGCUCAUGGUUAAAAGUGAUAUACCACAUUCUCCCGUCCGUACUCCUAUGGAUUAUCC